GUUGCGAUCGUUGGCAGGGGUAAAAUAAAGGAGUGAAAAGUUAUAAUUUAUAGCCCACCAUCAAAUAUCUGUUCCCUUUUCUCCGCAUCGGUUACCCACGGUCAGUUAGAAAGCGGGCGGGUGCGAACGGUGAGCAGCGUAACGAAUGCACGGGUGCUGAGAGAAUGGAUUUCAUGGCGUGUGCAAAGUGAUGAUCGGUCAGUGCGGGAUUUUCACCAUUCCACACCGCGUACCGAAUGCGUUUGUGUUGGUGGCACGCUGGAAGAUCGUCCGAUCGGCGCCGGUAGGUCGGCCUCGGUCCAGUUUGUUUGGUACGUUCUGGUGGGUCGGUUUAUUGUUUCUUCACUCGGGCGAGUAAACAAACCCGCCGCGUGUGUUCAUUUCAGAAAAAGAUCAGAAAGUCCCAACAUUCCUCGCUCACCAUUCAAGCGAACACAACAGAAUGCGUGCGAAUGCUGGCGCGAAUUUGUUACAUUCCGGAAAGUGUCGCACUCGCAACCGACACUCGAUCCAAGACACCGUACCGACGCCUUCCUUCGCCUAGUCUUUCCUGGUCGGAUGCACACGGUGGGAAACUCACUUCACCCAUAAUUAACCCGGCUCAAGAACGCAUCGCCCCACAGUUGUCAAACGCAGUAGCGUGGACCAAUCUUCUUGGGCGAUCGCUACGUUGUGUGCGAUCAUUCUGCAUUGCGGUUUGGCAACUUCUUCGCUCGCUGCACGCUGGGCACGUGACGAAAUGGCUUUUGUAGGUGUGACCACCGAUGCUAGCGCCGAGGAAGGAUGGGAAAGCAAAUAGGAAGAAAAACGGGUUUGCACUACGGUGCAGUCACUUGCCAGGAAGUGGAAUCAGUUCAUCAGCGCGCUAAAUAGACCUAUUUUUAGUGUGAUCCUACACCGCACACUGCGCCACAAUGCACGUUGGUGGUGCAUUUUU
Anopheles coluzzii is the source of this 937-nucleotide long non-coding RNA. RefSeq lists it as uncharacterized. The record is from RefSeq and is a predicted model, not a curated record. NCBI's taxonomy places the organism in Eukaryota, Metazoa, Arthropoda, Insecta, Diptera, Culicidae. The transcript is spliced from 2 exons.